AGAGUUUGAUCAUGGCUCAGGACGAACGCUGGCGGCGCGCCUAACACAUGCAAGUCGAGCGAGAACCUGGGCUUCGGCCCAGGGGACAGCGGCGAACGGGUGAGUAACACGUGGAUAACCUGCCCUCGGCACCGGAAUAGCCCGGGGAAACCCGGAUUAAUGCCGGAUAGCCCCACAUCCCCUCGGGGAACGUGGGAAAAGGUAGCUUCGGCCUCUGGCCGAGGAUGGGUCCGCGGUGGAUUAGCUUGUUGGCGGGGUAAUGGCCCACCAAGGCGACGAUCCAUAGCUGGUCUGAGAGGACGAUCAGCCACACUGGGACUGAGACACGGCCCAGACUCCUACGGGAGGCAGCAGUGGGGAAUCUUGCGCAAUGGGCGAAAGCCUGACGCAGCGACGCCGCGUGCGGGAAGAAGGCCUUAGGGUUGUAAACCGCUUUCAGGAGGGACGAAGCUACUCGGGUGAAUAGCCCAGAGGGUGACGGUACCUCCAGAAGAAGCCCCGGCUAACUACGUGCCAGCAGCCGCGGUAAUACGUAGGGGGCAAGCGUUGUCCGGAUUCAUUGGGCGUAAAGAGCGUGUAGGCGGCCAGGUAGGUCGGUUGUGAAAACUGGAGGCUCAACCUUCAGAGGUCGACCGAGACCAUCUGGCUAGAGUCCGGGAGAGGAGAGUGGAAUUCCUGGUGUAGCGGUGAAAUGCGCAGAUAUCAGGAAGAACACCCGUGGCGAAAGCGGCUCUCUGGAACGGUACUGACGCUGAGACGCGAAAGCGUGGGGAGCGAACAGGAUUAGAUACCCUGGUAGUCCACGCCGUAAACGAUGGGCGCUAGGUGUGGGAGGUGUCGACUCCUUCCGUGCCGCAGCUAACGCAUUAAGCGCCCCGGCCUGGGGGAGUACGGCCGCAAGGCUAAAACUCAAAUGAAUUGACGG
This 925-nucleotide ribosomal RNA is filed under the name uncultured bacterium. RNAcentral describes it as "bacterial SSU rRNA". It matches the Rfam family "Bacterial small subunit ribosomal RNA", at positions 8 to 916 of the family's 1533-position model. The record is from RNAcentral.